CACAAAACCUUCUAACAGUCUUCUUAAUUCUUUCUUUACUUUCAUUUUCUUGACCUCUUUUAACACAAUUCUUGAUUGGAGUUUCCAUUUCAGAAAGCUAGCAGAUACCCAAGAAUCAUGAGUCAGUCAGUCAGCAACAGCAGCGGGAAGAAGCAGAUUAGAAUUGAUAUCAGCUCAGACACUAUAUGCAUUUGGUGCUUUGUUGGCAAACGAAAUUUAGAUAAAGCCAUAGCUACUGCUAAAGACAGAUUUGAUUUUGAGGUCUCUCAAUUCUACCUUUUCUCAUUAAGUUAUAUUCUAAUAUAUUUUUCAUUUCGAACUCAGACAAGUUCUAAUUUGCAGAUUAGAUGGCAUCCGUUUCUUAUUGAUCCAUCUGCCCCGAAAGAAGGCACAAAGCUUAUGCCUCUUUUCCAGCAAAGAUUUGGGUCUCGAACUGAUGCAGUUCUAAAUCAACUCAGAGAGGUUAAUUAUCUUCUUCAUUUGAUAAUUAUCUAUGCAAUAAUGGCCUUGGAGUUUGACUUUUAUUUAAUUAACCUAUUAUGAUAAUUGCGUUCAGGCUCUUAGAGGUGUUGGUCUGGAAUUCAACAUAUGUGAGCUCUUGUAAGUUCUUUUUUGUAAUUCAGCUUUAUAAAAAAUGUGCUAAGGGGUUUAUUUGAUGAAUUAACAUGGUUUUGGUGAUGCACAGUGGGAAUUCCUUAGAAAGCCAUAGGCUUAUACAUUUUGCUGGCCAGCAAGGUCUUGACAAGCAACAUAAUCUUGCAGAGGAAUUAUUCCUUGGUUACUUCACAAAGGCUAAAUACAUUGGCGACAGGUAAAUAGUUAAACUUUUUUGUCAUUCAAUCUUGUGAUCUAAUUGGUUUUCUCAUUAAUACGGAGGGUGGGAAGUAUCGAGUUUGAGUUCUCUUCAAUCCCAUAACGGCGAAUACGGUAACAUUAAUGAAUUGAUGCAGGGAAUUUCUCUUGGAAUGUGCUGAAAAAUUUGGAGUAGAGGGGGCUGCAGAAUUCCUUCAAGAUCCAAAUCAUGGUGUGAAGGAGGUAUAUGAGGACCUCCACAAGUACUCAGCAGGCCUCACAGGAGUCCCAAACUAUGUGGUAUGCAAUAAAAUACCCAUUAUUUAUAUUUUUAUUGUUUAAUCAUUAUAAUAAUCCAUAUUAAUUUUUUCUUUUUCUUCCUCUGAAUAGAUCAAUGGAAAGAAGAAGUUGAAUGGAGCCCAGCCUCCAGAGGUUUUCCUCAGAGCUUUUGAAGCUGCAGCAAAUUAAUAGUUUACAUUAUAUAAGCUGGAAGAGGCAACAAUAAAUCAAGAGUUCAACUUUCCCUCAUGCAUUUGUGUAAUGUUUUAUUAUUUUUAAUUAUUUUUCUUGUGUAAUAUUGGAACAUAACUGUCAUAUGCAUUUUUCCUGCAGUGGAUAUGUUCAAAUUGGAAUGGUUUGAGGAUUUGUGUGGAAAUUUAAAAAUAUAUUUCUUCUUUCAAUAUAACUUUCUGAUCUUCACUAUUUAUCUUCACUACCUAACACCCCGUUUAUGGGCUUUAUCUCGUACACCAAACUAAUAAAAUAAACUUUUAACAAGAAUAUUUUUUUACAAUCACUAAGAAAAAAAAUAAUAAAACAAAAAUAAUAAUUAAAAAAAUCUUUAAUUGGCGUGUUCUAUGAAAUCACUUAUAUUAUACACCUAUCGACAAAUCUUAUCAUAUCGACAUAUCAAUAUUAUCUAUUAGUUACAAAUUUUAAUUGUCAUUUACGCUCUAUUUUGUAUAAAUGAAGUCAAAAUGUUAAAUUCAUUGUAUAUGAUUUUUUCAUGUUUAGAAUAAAUUAAAAAAUGAAAAUUUAUUUAUUUUUAUUUCUAAAAUACUCUAGCCAUAAUAAUGUUAGAAGGCUAGGAGGAUGAAAAGUUUUGGUUAUAAAAUAUUAGGUUGAUUAAUUUUAUGGAAUUCAUUUAGAAAUUUUACAUUUUUCUUGUAAAAUUUUAUAAAUUUUAAUUUAGUUAUAUUCAAAUACAUAGAAUUGAAUUCGUAUAAUUAAUUCUUCAUUCUUUUUCAUACCAAACACAAAAAUUUAAAUUUAUAAUUAAAUUCUAACAAGUUUUUUAGAAUUCAUUUAUUCCAAACAAGACUUAUAAGUCCAAUUAUAUACAAAUCAACCGCAAAUAUAUUCAAAUCCAAUUAAUACAAACUUAGACUACAAUCAAAUACGGAUAUGUAGGAACUAUUAGAAAAAUCUUUGAAUUAAUAAUAUAUAUUUGAUCUACUACUUUGUAGCAUAAACAGAAAUAUAAUAUCUUAAUUUUGAGAAGAUAUUAUCUCUAAUAAAACUUCAAAAUAAUCGUUGUCUUCAAACUAAAUUAUGGGCUUAUUUUAAAUCAUUAAAAAAAAUUUAAAACUUUACAGGUAAUUUUAAUUAUACGUUAAAUUCAAUUUUCUUCUCUUACUAUUCUGAACUUCAAUUUUAAUUAUAAUAGCACCCUAAUUUUAAAUUGUAUCUAAUUUAAUGAGUAAAAUAAACAUGAAUUUUUAAUUAUGGUUUAUUGAAAUUAUAAUUAAGCUAGAUCUCUUAUACAAAUAAGUUUUAUUCAUUACAGCAUAAUUUUAUUUUUAGGGAAUCAUUACUUGUUAAUAUUAUACAAAUAAAACAAAAAAAAAAAGUAGUUUUUAGGUGAAUAUAUUAUUUUUUAUUUUAAUAUUGGGUACAAAAUAAUAUUUCUUUGAAGGCAAUUGAAAAUAAUAUUUAUUCACUAAAUUGGAUAUAAUUUGAAAUUAUGGUGCUAUUGUAACUAAAAUUGAAAUUUAGAAUACUAGAAGUAGAAAAUUAGAUUUAAAGUAAUUAAAAUUACCUAUAAAAUUUGAAGUUUUUUUAAUGAUUUAGCCCUUAAAAUACUUGGACUUUGAUUUUGUAACAUUAAAAGUGAAUUUGACCACAAUCCGGUGAUGAAAGACACCGGAAAACUGAUGUGGCAAGCAUCAUUUAAAAAAAUAAUUUUUUAUUUCACGUCAUCCUGCUCAAAGUUUUUUGUGUUCAUUUUUUCUAUUUUGUAAGACCUCCAUCUCUCUUCUUCCAAUCGAGGCUUUUCGAUCUUCAUCUCCGUAUAUAAACCCAUAGAUCAAUAAUCAAUUCAUCAAACAACCCAAAAUCAAAACAAACCUCUUUUCAAUUUCCUUCUAUUUAUGAAUUUAAACGACACAAACCCAAGUUUUACAAUUCUCAAUAUGCUAUCAAAAUUAAAAUUAAAAUCAUAUCCAGUAAAUAUUCUUUGCAAAAACACCUUAGAAUUCAAACAAAACGUAGAAAUAAUAAUAUUCAGGUUUCUAAAUUACAUACCUGAAAUUCUCUUUCUCUCUGUACUAGCUCAGAUCCUUAACAUUUAUUUUUUAAUCGAAAUUCCUGCUUGACCACUGUGAAGGGGAUGAGAGAAAAAAAAAAAAAAAACACCUUUUUAAUUGAAUAAAAUGAUCUCUUGUUCAAACCGAAACUUUAUAACAUCGGCAAAUGGUACUUUUUUUUGUACAGCUAACUUAAGCAAACUGGAAUUUUCUCUCACAAAAAAGAAGUCUUUUAUAGGUGAAAAGCAAUUCAUGGAUGGUUAUUAAGGCUUGUGGAGAGUGCAAAUGGCUUGUUGUUUGUUGGUUAUUUAUAAAAUAAGAAAAUAAGGGAGAGAGCAAAGAUCGAAAGAAGAAAAGAAAAAUAGCCAUUGAAGAGAAAAAUGAGAUAUGGAAGAUCAUUUAGAAGAAAGAGAAAAUGGGCACAAGUUCCAUCUCCCGAGACUUUGACGCCGAAUAAAAAUUUAUCUUUUUUAGAUCAUU
Molecule: long non-coding RNA, 3797 nt
Filed under: Jatropha curcas
Lineage: Eukaryota; Viridiplantae; Streptophyta; Magnoliopsida; Malpighiales; Euphorbiaceae
Description: long non-coding RNA (JCUR_LNC003005)
Source: RNAcentral